AUUGAACGCUGGCGGCAUGCUUUACACAUGCAAGUCGAACGGCAGCACGGGCUUCGGCCUGGUGGCGAGUGGCGAACGGGUGAGUAAUGCAUCGGAACGUGCCCAUUUGUGGGGGAUAACUACGCGAAAGCGUGGCUAAUACCGCAUACGCCCUGAGGGGGAAAGCGGGGGAUUCUUCGGAACCUCGCGCAAUUGGAGCGGCCGAUGUCAGAUUAGCUUGUUGGUGAGGUAAAGGCUCACCAAGGCGACGAUCUGUAGCGGGUCUGAGAGGAUGAUCCGCCACACUGGGACUGAGACACGGCCCAGACUCCUACGGGGGGCAGCAGUGGGGAAUUUUGGACAAUGGGGGCAACCCUGAUCCAGCCAUGCCGCGUGAGUGAAGAAGGCCUUCGGGUUGUAAAGCUCUUUCAGCCGGGAAAAAUCGCAUCAGUUAAUACCUGGUGUGGAUGAUGGUACCGGAAUAAGAAGCACCGGCUAACUACGUGCCAGCAGACCG
This 496-nucleotide ribosomal RNA is filed under the name uncultured bacterium. RNAcentral's name for it is "bacterial SSU rRNA". It matches the Rfam family "Bacterial small subunit ribosomal RNA", at positions 30 to 517 of the family's 1533-position model. The record is from RNAcentral.